CCUGCGCAUGGGCUAGGCUGCGCGCCCACUUGGGCCGCGUGUCCGCCUGGGCCGCGCGUCUCGCACGUUGGCCUCGCCUAGGCGCGCUCCACCGGCCGUCGGCCGUCCUCCGCCACCUCGGCUUACGUGCAAUCUUCAAAAGUCUGUAUCUUCUCCGUCCGAGCUCCGUUUUAGGUGAUCUUGAUCUCAUGGAACUCCGUUUUUCAUCGCAAAUCUCGCUGUGGGCUCAAUGUGGGCUAAAUCUCGAGGCGUCAAAUUCUAAUAAGUGUUAAGUGUGUGUG
This 281-nucleotide long non-coding RNA is filed under the name Elaeis guineensis (African oil palm). RNAcentral's name for it is "long non-coding RNA (EGUI_LNC024972)". The record is from RNAcentral. Lineage: Eukaryota; Viridiplantae; Streptophyta; Magnoliopsida; Arecales; Arecaceae.